Molecule: ribosomal RNA, 822 nt
Filed under: Aurantiactinomyxon sp. 'B2' EE-2005
Lineage: Eukaryota; Metazoa; Cnidaria; Myxozoa
Description: bacterial SSU rRNA
Rfam family: Eukaryotic small subunit ribosomal RNA
Source: RNAcentral
AAAUCGUUGAUGUCUCUCCCAUUGGAUACCGUGGGAAAUCUAGAGCUAAUACGUGCAGUUUAUUGGUUCACUCUCGGGUGGGCCAAAGCAUUUAUUAGACUAAACCAUCUACUAUGCUCGCAUAGUAAGGGGAAUCUGGAUAACUUUGCUGAUCGUAUGGCCUUGUGCCGGCGACAUUUCAAUUGAGUUUCUGCCCUAUCAACUUGUUGGUAAGGUAUUGGCUUACCAAGGUUGCAACGGGUAACGGGGAAUCAGGGUUCGAUUCCGGAGAGGGAGCCUGAGAAACGGCUACCACAUCCAAGGAAGGCAACAGGCGCGCAAAUUACCCAAUCUAGACAGUAGGAGGUGGUGAAGAGAAUUACUAGGUGGUGACUCAAUGAGUUACCAGUUUGGAAUGAACGUAACUUAAGCAAUUCGAUGAGAAACAACUGGAGGGCAAGUCCUGGUGCCAGCAGCCGCGGUAAUUCCAGCUCCAGUAGUUUGCUUUAAAGUUGUUGCGUUUAAAACGCUCGUAGUUGGAUCACGCAGCAGUGCUCAGUAAUCUGCUACCAGACAAUCUUCCACGAAAGCCACUUUGUGGCGCUUCAGGAACUGUCGUCGGUGGUAGAUGCCAACGCUGAGCAUUGUUAGUUGCACGUGAGAUGAAUUGUUGGCCUUUAUUGAGCCGGUAUUCUCGUCUUGCGGAGUGUGCCUUGAAUAAAACAGAGUGCUUAAAGCAGGUCGUUGCCUGAAUGUUAUAGCAUGGAACGAACAAUCGUGUAUAUGUGUGCAUCCUUGAUCGGUGACGAGCCUUAGGCUUGUCGUUGGCCAGGACGCAUACGG